ACAAGCGGCGGAGCAUGUGGAUUAAUUCGAUGCAACGCGAAGAACCUUACCUGGGCUUGACAUGCACUGGACAGCCGUAGAGAUACGGUUUUCUUCGGACUGGUGUACAGGUGGUGCAUGGCUGUCGUCAGCUCGUGUCGUGAGAUGUUGGGUUAAGUCUCGCAACGAGCGCAACCGUUGUCCUGCGUUGCCAGCACGUAAUGG
RNAcentral lists this ribosomal RNA (204 nucleotides) under uncultured Prauserella sp. RNAcentral's name for it is "partial 16S ribosomal RNA". It matches the Rfam family "Bacterial small subunit ribosomal RNA", at positions 925 to 1131 of the family's 1533-position model. Lineage: Bacteria; Bacillati; Actinomycetota; Actinomycetes; Pseudonocardiales; Pseudonocardiaceae. The record is from RNAcentral.